RNAcentral lists this ribosomal RNA (253 nucleotides) under uncultured bacterium. Its description in RNAcentral is "partial 16S ribosomal RNA". It matches the Rfam family "Bacterial small subunit ribosomal RNA", at positions 524 to 776 of the family's 1533-position model. The record is from RNAcentral.
UACGGAGGGUGCAAGCGUUGCUCGGAAUCACUGGGCGUAAAGCGCACGUAGGCGGAUCUUUAAGUCAGAGGUGAAAUCCCAAGGCUCAACCUUGGAACUGCCUUUGAUACUGGGGAUCUCGAGUUCGGGAGAGGUGAGUGGAACUGCGAGUGUAGAGGUGAAAUUCGUAGAUAUUCGCAAGAACACCAGUGGCGAAGGCGGCUCACUGGCCCGAUACUGACGCUGAGGCACGAAAGCGUGGGGAGCAAACAGG